ACUCAGGCAUCCCCUAGUACGGCGAGUGAGCGGGAGAGCUCAAAUUUGAAAUCUGGUGGCCUCAGGUCAUCCGAGUUGUAAUCUAUAGAAGUGUUUUCCGUGCUGGCUCAUGUACAAGUCCCUUGGAACAGGGCGUCAUAGAGGGUGAGAAUCCCGUCCUUGACAUGAACUACCAGUGCUCUGUGAUACAUUUUCAACGAGUCGAGUUGUUUGGGAAUGCAGCUCAAAAUGGGUGGUAAAUUCCAUCUAAAGCUAAAUAUUGGCGAGAGACCGAUAGCGAACAAGUACCGUGAGGGAAAGAUGAAAAGCACUUUGGAAAGAGAGUUAAACAGUAUGUGAAAUUGUUGAAAGGGAAACGAUUGAAGUCAGUCGUGCUCUUUGGAUUCAGCCGGUUCUGCCGGUGUACUUCCUUUGAGUGGGGUCAACAUCAGUUUUGAUCGCUGGAUAAAGGCUGGAGGAACGUAGUACCCUCGGGUAAACUUAUAGCCUCCUGUCACAUACAGUGGUUGGGACUGAGGAACGCAGCACGCCUUUAUGGCCGGGAUUCGUCCACGUACGUGCUUAGGAUGUUGACAUAAUGGCUUUAAACGACCCAUCUUGAACC
This 604-nucleotide ribosomal RNA is filed under the name Filobasidium magnum. RNAcentral describes it as "eukaryotic LSU rRNA". It matches the Rfam family "Eukaryotic large subunit ribosomal RNA", at positions 67 to 660 of the family's 3401-position model. Lineage: Eukaryota; Fungi; Basidiomycota; Tremellomycetes; Filobasidiales; Filobasidiaceae. The record is from RNAcentral.